UUUGUGCUUAUGGAACAUUUCAACUCAUGAAACAGGACACUUUACAUGUUGGGUUUAUUUUUGUUUAGUGCAUAUUUGAUCAACAAAACAGAAUUGUGUCCCUAGUGUCAUGAACAAACAUUAUCUAAUUGAUCUCUCAUGGAGAUAUACAAUUUGUAAGGCACUACACACUCCAAUUCCACCACUAUGUGCAUACUUUCCUCUGAUUUAAAGACUUUGCCAUCUAUCUUACUUUAUUUAGUAAAUGUCGGUAUUUUGCUAUGUGGUGAUACUGCAGCAUACACCCAAGCCAAUCACUAAAACUACAGAUUCUUUAACUUUCUUUGUAUAUUAUUAAUUAUUUGUGAGGCCAACUUGUGUAUAUACUAUAACCUGUCUCCUUGCUAUGCCACAUGUUAUUUUCAUCACUACCUUACCCACCGUGACCUCUGUUUUAGGUUCUUACUGGGAAUGGUUCCCAGACAACUAUACCACUAUCUUUCUGAAAAUAAUUGGUUUAGGAUUGAGAUUAACCUGAACCUGCAGCUCUCAGAUAAGACUGGUUUGGCAACUUGACAUUCUGAUUAGAUCAAGAUAACCUGCAUAAAGAAGAAAGAGGACCUUUUUAGACUUUAUAUUACUAUGCAGUUAUGAAGCAUCCUACCUUCCUCACCAACCAACCCUUGUCCUUGUAUCAGUAUCAUGAAAAGAAUGGACGUGGACUCCAGCAUAUAGAGUAACAAUCUGGAGAUGGAUAUUAACAGGCCCGAGAGAGAGACCAGGGGGGCUACGUAGAGAUAAAAAAAGAAGACAUCCUGUUCCUGUCUCCAUUCUCUACGCCUUAUUUCUGUUGACCAACUGUAUACUUGCUACUGUGAAUAUUCUCCACCAUUAUAGCAUUGCGUGAAAAAACAAUGUCACACGUUUUAGAUGGAAUAUAUUGGAUGAAAUUCAAAAAGGGGUUGUAUGUUUUGCCUACUAGUGUGAAGGCCUUAUCAAUCACUGGUUUCCUCUCCAUGUCUCGCAACUAUGGUCGAGUCACUUUAGUGAACAUCAUUUUAAGGGCAAUUGAGUGGUGUAUUUGACAGUUCAUAGAAGUAACCUGUGCCUGGCAGUCUGCCAGUGAAGUGUGAUAUAAAGCCAGUUAGGAAUUGCUCAGACAAAGGUAAGUCUAUUUGUUUUCUCCCUCCCUUGUGUCCUGUAAGAUUAUUUCAUUUAUUUCUUAGUGUUCAUUUUGGUACCUAAACAAACGGCUAUUUUUCUACAUUUUAAACAAAGU
Salvelinus sp. IW2-2015 is the source of this 1258-nucleotide long non-coding RNA. RefSeq lists it as uncharacterized. NCBI's taxonomy places the organism in Eukaryota, Metazoa, Chordata, Actinopteri, Salmoniformes, Salmonidae. The record is from RefSeq and is a predicted model, not a curated record.